UGUGUUCCCCCCGCCAAUUCCAUCAGCCGCCGCGGUAAUACGGGGGAUGCAAGCGUUAUCCGGAAUGAUUGGGCGUAAAGAGUCCGUAGGUAGUCAUCCAAGUCUGCUGUUAAAGAGCGAGGCUUAACCUCGUAAAGGCAGUGGAAACUGGAAGACUAGAGUGUAGUAGGGGCAGAGGGAAUUCCUGGUGUAGCGGUGAAAUGCGUAGAGAUCAGGAAGAACACCGGUGGCGAAGGCGCUCUGCUGGGCUAUAACUGACACUGAGGGACGAAAGCUAGGGGAGCGAAUGGGAUUAGAUACCCCAGUAGUCCUAGCGGUAAACGAUGGAAACUAGGUGUGGCCUGUAUCGACCCGGGCCGUGCCGAAGCAAACGCGUUAAGUUUCCCGCCUGGGGAGUACGCACGCAAGUGUGAAACUCAAAGGAAUUGGCGGGGGAGCACAAA
Molecule: ribosomal RNA, 443 nt
Filed under: uncultured bacterium
Lineage: Bacteria
Description: bacterial SSU rRNA
Rfam family: Bacterial small subunit ribosomal RNA
Source: RNAcentral